Molecule: ribosomal RNA, 515 nt
Filed under: uncultured bacterium
Lineage: Bacteria
Description: bacterial SSU rRNA
Rfam family: Bacterial small subunit ribosomal RNA
Source: RNAcentral
GGGGAAUAUUGCACAAUGGAGGGAACUCUGAUGCAGCGACGCCGCGUGAACGAAGGAGGCUUUCGAGUCGUAAAGUUCUUUUAUAUGGGAAGAUAAUGACGGUACCAUAAGAAAAAGCCCCGGCUAACUACGUGCCAGCAGCCGCGGUAAUACGUAGGGGGCUAGCGUUGUCCGGAAUCACUGGGCGUAAAGGGUUCGCAGGCGGAAAUGCAAGUCAGAUGUAAAAGGCAGUAGCUUAACUACUGUAAGCAUUUGAAACUGCAUAUCUUGAGAAGAGUAGAGGUAAGUGGAAUUUUUAGUGUAGCGGUGAAAUGCGUAGAUAUUAAAAAGAAUACCGGUGGCGAAGGCGACUUACUGGGCUCAUUCUGACGCUGAGGAACGAAAGCGUGGGUAGCAAACAGGAUUAGAUACCCUGGUAGUCCACGCUGUAAACGAUGAGUGCUAGGUGUCGGCGAAUGUCGGUGCCGCAGUUAACACAAUAAGCACUCCGCCUGGGGAGUACGUGCGCAAGCAUG